CUGGAGAUGACGGGGUUGAUAGGCCGGAUCUGGAAGCACGGUAACGUGUGGAGGUGACCGGUACUAAUAGGCCGAGGGCUUGUCCAU
This 87-nucleotide ribosomal RNA is filed under the name Streptomyces sp. B15. RNAcentral describes it as "partial 23S ribosomal RNA". It matches the Rfam family "Bacterial large subunit ribosomal RNA", at positions 2838 to 2925 of the family's 2925-position model. The record is from RNAcentral. Lineage: Bacteria; Bacillati; Actinomycetota; Actinomycetes; Kitasatosporales; Streptomycetaceae. RNAcentral also lists the same sequence under 2 other names.